Long non-coding RNA from Passer domesticus (house sparrow), 961 nucleotides. RefSeq lists it as uncharacterized. The transcript has 3 exons. Lineage: Eukaryota; Metazoa; Chordata; Aves; Passeriformes; Passeridae. The record is from RefSeq and is a predicted model, not a curated record.
AAGUGAUGGAACAAAAGGCUGUUCAGGAGGAGGAACACUCAGGGAGAAGCAGUGGCUCAUUGGCAGCCCCUGCUGCAGGAAGGAAGGCAAUGCCAGACACGGGCACAGGCACAGCAGAUGCAGCCGGCACCACAAGACCUGUUCCCAAUGCCCAGGAUGGCCUUGGAAGGGGUUUCUAUCAGGAAACAGGCUACUGGCUAGCGUUACUGGCAUUUCUGCUUUGUUUGGAGCUUGUCUUCGUGUUGUGCUUGUUUGGAAUCGGGUAUUUGGAAUCGGGAAGAGAAAACAGAGCACCUCGGGACAGGAGUUGAAAGACGGUGGCUGCACCUCACACCCAGAGAGCUUGAGCAGCUCCUCCAGCAGCAGGAACGGCCCAGACAGCCCUCUCAAGUGUUCUGUGAAGAGGACCCCAGAACAACCGUCGACAAGGAAGCCUCUUAUUGCCCCGUAGAUCCCACUGCCACCUGCUCUCCCCAUGGGCCUCCCCAAGCUUCCUUUAUUCCUUUUUUUCUCUCCGUCUGUCCCAUCCCAGCCAACCCGAGUUCCGCUAGGGACCCCAGGACCAGCCCAGCACCUUCCAGCACCUCCUGAGACCAACACAUCCCUUCCUCUGCCCCUGAGCCCCCUGGCCUUGCCCUCUGGGCAAAACUGAAGGUUGUGGAGGAUUUUGUGAACAGCUGGCUAGCUAACAAAGGUCACACUGACAUAACACCGUUAAUUAAGCAAGAAGGAGAUGAGGAUAGGAGUCAGCAGUCAGUGUCCAAACCUGGCAAGGGCACUGUGCCCUUGGUGCAACAUCAGGAUGGGGGAGAGGAUCGUUAGUUAGAAACAUGAAGAAAAUAUGUAAACAGCUGCAGCAUAGUAGCCUCAAGAAUGCUAAGGUAGGCGUAGUUAGCUGAUAAGUAACUAACCAAUAAUGAGCUCGCUUUUUGCAAUAUGUAUUAGCCUCAUUAACACCAAU